UACGUAGGGGGCAAGCGUUAUCCGGAUUUACUGGGUGUAAAGGGAGCGUAGACGGCUGGCCAAGUCUGAAGUGAAAGCCCGGGGCUUAACCCCGGAACGGCUUUGGAAACUGGCCGGCUGGAGUGCUGGAGAGGCAGGCGGAAUUCCUGGUGUAGCGGUGAAAUGCGUAGAUAUCAGGAGGAACACCGGUGGCGAAGGCGGCCUGCUGGACAGUAACUGACGUUGAGGCUCGAAAGCGUGGGGAGCAAACA
This 251-nucleotide ribosomal RNA is filed under the name uncultured bacterium. RNAcentral describes it as "partial 16S ribosomal RNA". It matches the Rfam family "Bacterial small subunit ribosomal RNA", at positions 524 to 774 of the family's 1533-position model. The record is from RNAcentral.